AGUGAACGCUGGCGGUAGGCCUAACACAUGCAAGUCGAACGGCAGCACAGUAAGAGCUUGCUCUUACGGGUGACGAGUGGCGGACGGGUGCGGAAUACAUCGGGAUCUACUUUUUCGUGGGGGGUAACGUAGGGAAACUUACGCUAAUACCGCAUACGACCUACGGGUGACAGCAGGGGAUCUUCGGACCUUGCGCGUUUGAAUGGGCCGAUGUCGGAUUAGGUAGUUGGCGGGGUAAAGGCCCACCAAGGCGACGAUCCGUAGCUGGUCUGAGAGGAUGAUCAGCCACACUGGAACUGAGACACGGCCCAGACUCCUACGGGAGGCAGCAGUGGGGAAUAUUGGACAAUGGGCGCAAGCCUGAUCCAGCCAUACCGCGUGGGUGAAGAAGGCCUUCGGGUUGUAAAGCCCUUUUGUUGGGAAAGAAAAGCAGCAGGUUAAUACCCCGCUGUUCUGACGGUACCCUAAGAAUAAGCACCGGCUAACUUCGUG
RNAcentral lists this ribosomal RNA (492 nucleotides) under uncultured bacterium. Its description in RNAcentral is "partial 16S ribosomal RNA". It matches the Rfam family "Bacterial small subunit ribosomal RNA", at positions 29 to 507 of the family's 1533-position model. The record is from RNAcentral.